AUGCAACACGGCGGCCUCCCUAGUCCGUACCUCGAUCGAUCGAAAGGUAGGUUCUUCUCGACGCCCCCUCCACAAAUCCCCACUUUGCGCCGGCGAAUCUUCUUGGCGAUGGCUGGUAAGCAGGGCCGCAAGAAGGCGAGGAGCCCCCCCGGAUGCCCUCAGCUGCGUCCGAGCGGCAGCACCGUCUCCGGAUCGAAGAAGCCUGCGGCGGCGACGGUUCCUUCGUGCAAGUACCACCUGUCGGAGGCGUCUGUCCAGGCGGUCCUAAACCACAAGAGGGUGCCUUUCGUCAUUGGGGACUACUUCGACGACCUGACCCCUGAGGAGCAGCAACUCACGCUCGAGGUGGCCGCCCAGCACGAGGAGGUCGAGGACAGGUACGCCAAGUACCAGGAAAGAGUCCGCAAGGAGCUGGAUGAGAAGGGAUUCGUCGCGCUCCCCGAUGACGUUGACAAGAGGAGGGCCGCGCUGAACGCGCGCUGA
This 483-nucleotide ribosomal RNA is filed under the name Triticum aestivum (bread wheat). Its description in RNAcentral is "partial small subunit ribosomal RNA". Lineage: Eukaryota; Viridiplantae; Streptophyta; Magnoliopsida; Poales; Poaceae. The record is from RNAcentral.